This 87-nucleotide transfer RNA is filed under the name Filimonas zeae. RNAcentral describes it as "tRNA-Leu". It matches the Rfam family "tRNA". Rfam says of the family: Transfer RNA (tRNA) molecules are approximately 80 nucleotides in length. Their secondary structure includes four short double-helical elements and three loops (D, anti-codon, and T loops). Further hydrogen bonds mediate the characteristic L-shaped molecular structure. tRNAs have two regions of fundamental functional importance: the anti-codon, which is responsible for specific mRNA codon recognition, and the 3' end, to which the tRNAs corresponding amino acid is attached (by aminoacyl-tRNA synthetases). tRNAs cope with the degeneracy of the genetic code in two manners: having more than one tRNA (with a specific anti-codon) for a particular amino acid; and 'wobble' base-pairing, i.e. permitting non-standard base-pairing at the 3rd anti-codon position. Lineage: Bacteria; Pseudomonadati; Bacteroidota; Chitinophagia; Chitinophagales; Chitinophagaceae. The record is from RNAcentral.
GCCCUUGUGGUGGAAUUGGUAGACACGCAGGACUUAAAAUCCUGUUCGCAGCAAUGCGAGUAACGGUUCAACUCCGUUCGGGGGCAC